This 467-nucleotide ribosomal RNA is filed under the name uncultured bacterium. RNAcentral's name for it is "partial 16S ribosomal RNA". It matches the Rfam family "Bacterial small subunit ribosomal RNA", at positions 28 to 507 of the family's 1533-position model. The record is from RNAcentral.
GACGAACGCUGGCGGCGUGCUUAACACAUGCAAAUCGAACGGAAAGGCCUCUUUCGGGGGGUACUCGAGUGGCGAACGGGUGAGUAACACGUGAGUAACCUGCCCUUGACUUUGGGAUAACUUCAGGAAACUGGGGCUAAUACCGGAUAGGAGCUCCUGCUGCAUGGUGGGGGUUGGAAAGUUUCGGCGGUUGGGGAUGGACUCGCGGCUUAUCAGCUUGUUGGUGGGGUAGUGGCUUACCAAGGCUUUGACGGGUAGCCGGCCUGAGAGGGUGACCGGCCACAUUGGGACUGAGAUACGGCCCAGACUCCUACGGGAGGCAGCAGUGGGGAAUAUUGCACAAUGGGUGGAAGCCUGAUGCAGCAACGCCGUGUGCGGGAUGACGGCCUUCGGGUUGUAAACCGCUUUCGCUCAUGACGAAGCUUUGUGUGACGGUAGUGGGUAAAGAAGCACCGGCUAACUACGUG